UGAGGUGCUUGCACCUUAUCUUAGCGGCGGACGGGUGAGUAAUGCUUAGGAAUCUGCCUAUUAGUGGGGGACAACAUUCCGAAAGGAAUGCUAAUACCGCAUACGCCCUACGGGGGAAAGCAGGGGAUCUUCGGACCUUGCGCUAAUAGAUGAGCCUAAGUCGGAUUAGCUAGUUGGUGGGGUAAAGGCCUACCAAGGCGACGAUCUGUAGCGGGUCUGAGAGGAUGAUCCGCCACACUGGGACUGAGACACGGCCCAGACUCCUACGGGAGGCAGCAGUGGGGAAUAUUGGACAAUGGGCGGAAGCCUGAUCCAGCCAUGCCGCGUGUGUGAAGAAGGCCUUUUGGUUGUAAAGCACUUUAAGCGAGGAGGAGGCUACUUAGAUUAAUACUCUAGGAUAGUGGACGUUACUCGCAGAAUAAGCACCGGCUAACUCUGUGCCAGCAGCCGCGGUAAUACAGAGGGUGCGAGCGUUAAUCGGAUUUACUGGGCGUAAAGCGUGCGUAGGCGGCUGAUUAAGUCGGAUGUGAAAUCCCUGAGCUUAACUUAGGAAUUGCAUUCGAUACUGGUCAGCUAGAGUAUGGGAGAGGAUGGUAGAAUUCCAGGUGUAGCGGUGAAAUGCGUAGAGAUCUGGAGGAAUACCGAUGGCGAAGGCAGCCAUCUGGCCUAAUACUGACGCUGAGGUACGAAAGCAUGGGGAGCAAACAGGAUUAGAUACCCUGGUAGUCCAUGCCGUAAACGAUGUCUACUAGCCGUUGGGGCCUUUGAGGCUUUAGUGGCGCAGCUAACGCGAUAAGUAGACCGCCUGGGGAGUACGGUCGCAAGACUAAAACUCAAAUGAAUUGACGGGGGCCCGCACAAGCGGUGGAGCAUGUGGUUUAAUUCGAUGCAACGCGAAGAACCUUACCUGGCCUUGACAUAGU
This 923-nucleotide ribosomal RNA is filed under the name uncultured bacterium. Its description in RNAcentral is "bacterial SSU rRNA". It matches the Rfam family "Bacterial small subunit ribosomal RNA", at positions 72 to 990 of the family's 1533-position model. The record is from RNAcentral.